AACGAACGCUGGCGGCAGGCUUAACACAUGCAAGUCGAGCGCAUCCUCCGGGGUGAGCGGCGGUCGGGGGAGUAACGCGGGGGAACGUGCCCUCUUCUACGGAAUAGCCGCGGGAAACUGAGAUUAAUGCCGCAUACGCCCGCAAGGGGAAAGAGCUAUCGGGGGAGGAUCGGCCCGCGUUGGCUUAGGUGGUUGGGGGGGUAAUGGCCGACCAAGGGGAGGAUGCAUAGCUGGUGGGGGAGGAUGAUCUGCCACACUGGGGCUGAGACCCGGCCCAGACUCGUACGCGAGGCAGCAGUGGGGAAUACUGGACGAUGGGGGCAGACCUGAUCCAGCCAUGCGGCGUGAGCGAUGAAGGCCUUAGGGUUGUGAAGAUCUUUCAGCUGGGGAGAUAAUGACGGUACCAGCAGAAGAAGCCCCGGCUAACUACGUG
Molecule: ribosomal RNA, 433 nt
Filed under: uncultured bacterium
Lineage: Bacteria
Description: partial 16S ribosomal RNA
Rfam family: Bacterial small subunit ribosomal RNA
Source: RNAcentral